RNAcentral lists this ribosomal RNA (761 nucleotides) under Bacillus licheniformis. RNAcentral's name for it is "bacterial SSU rRNA". It matches the Rfam family "Bacterial small subunit ribosomal RNA", at positions 57 to 800 of the family's 1533-position model. The record is from RNAcentral. Lineage: Bacteria; Bacillati; Bacillota; Bacilli; Caryophanales; Bacillaceae.
GCAGUCGAGCGGACCGACGGGAGCUUGCUCCCUUAGGUCAGCGGCGGACGGGUGAGUAACACGUGGGUAACCUGCCUGUAAGACUGGGAUAACUCCGGGAAACCGGGGCUAAUACCGGAUGCUUGAUUGAACCGCAUGGUUCAAUCAUAAAAGGUGGCUUUUAGCUACCACUUACAGAUGGACCCGCGGCGCAUUAACUAGUUGGUGAGGUAACGGCUCACCAAGGCGACGAUGCGUAGCCCACCUGAGAGGGUGAUCGGCCACACUGGGACUGAAACACGGCCCAGACUCCUACGGGAGGCAGCAGUAGGGAAUCUUCCGCAAUGGACGAAAGUCUGACGGAACAACGCCGCGUGAGUGAUGAAGGUUUUCGGAUCGUAAAACUCUGUUGUUAGGGAAGAACAAGUACCGUUCGAAUAGGGCGGUACCUUGACGGUACCUAACCAGAAAGCCACGGCUAACUACGUGCCAGCAGCCGCGGUAAUACGUAAGUGGCAAGCGUUGUCCGGAAUUAUUGGGCGUAAAGCGCGCGCAGGCGGUUUCUUAAGUCUGAUGUGAAAGCCCCCGGCUCAACCGGGGAGGGUCAUUGGAAACUGGGGAACUUGAGUGCAGAAGAGGAGAGUGGAAUUCCACGUGUAGCGGUGAAAUGCGUAGAGAUGUGGAGGAACACCAGUGGCGAAAGCGACUCUCUGGUCUGUAACUGACGCUGAGCGCGAAAGCGUGGGGAGCGAACAGGAUUAGAUACCCUGGUAGUCCACCGC